This 468-nucleotide ribosomal RNA is filed under the name uncultured bacterium. Its description in RNAcentral is "partial 16S ribosomal RNA". It matches the Rfam family "Bacterial small subunit ribosomal RNA", at positions 28 to 507 of the family's 1533-position model. The record is from RNAcentral.
GACGAACGCUGGCGGCGUGCUUAACACAUGCAAGUCGAACGGAAAGGCCCUGCUUUUGUGGGGUGCUCGAGUGGCGAACGGGUGAGUAACACGUGAGUAACCUGCCCUUGACUUUGGGAUAACUUCAGGAAACUGGGGCUAAUACCGGAUAGGAGCUCCUGCUGCAUGGUGGGGGUUGGAAAGUUUCGGCGGUUGGGGAUGGACUCGCGGCUUAUCAGCUUGUUGGUGGGGUAGUGGCUUACCAAGGCUUUGACGGGUAGCCGGCCUGAGAGGGUGACCGGCCACAUUGGGACUGAGAUACGGCCCAGACUCCUACGGGAGGCAGCAGUGGGGAAUAUUGCACAAUGGGCGGAAGCCUGAUGCAGCAACGCCGCGUGCGGGAUGACGGCCUUCGGGUUGUAACCCGCUUUCGCCUGUGACGAAGCGUGAGUGACGGUAAUGGGUAAAGAAGCACCGGCUAACUACGUG